CCAAAACAAAUGUAGCCUCAAAUGCAGUCUCUCACCGUUCUCAAUUCUUGCCUCUCAAUGUCCUCGUCAACAGACCAAAUCUUCAGUGACCAGAAACCACCACAAUCGAACCCUCAAAAUAUCCGGAAAACCUUCAAUAAACUCAAAAAGUACACCUCCAAACUCGCCAAUUUCGCUCUCCAAUGGCAGGAUCUCGAGGAUCAUUUCCUCUCGAUCAAAACCCAACUCCAGGAGCUCGAGAAAACCUACAAAAUCAAUACCCAGCAAGCUUUUUCAUCCCAAAUCGAGAACCCAGAAAGGGUAAACGGAGAUACCAUCACAAGACCCGUUGUCGAAUCUGAAAACAGAGUCCUUGAAAGCGAAAUCGAAGAUUGCGAAACGAAACCAUCUGUUCAUUCCCAAAACGAAAACCUAGAAAGCGAACAAAAUUGGAAAAGCAGGAGUGGCUCAAAGAGCCCUUAUAUACCCAUAGAUAGCGGCAGGUCUUUGUUAUUGUACUUAA
Molecule: unclassified non-coding RNA, 502 nt
Filed under: Hevea brasiliensis (rubber tree)
Lineage: Eukaryota; Viridiplantae; Streptophyta; Magnoliopsida; Malpighiales; Euphorbiaceae
Source: RNAcentral